RNAcentral lists this ribosomal RNA (1755 nucleotides) under human gut metagenome. Its description in RNAcentral is "bacterial LSU rRNA". It matches the Rfam family "Bacterial large subunit ribosomal RNA", at positions 1103 to 2841 of the family's 2925-position model. The record is from RNAcentral.
GGCUCAGAAGCAGCCACCAUUCAAAGAGUGCGUAAUAGCUCACUGGUCGAGAGGCUCUGCGCCGAAAAUAUCCGGGGCUCAAGUACAGAACCGAAGUCGCGUCAGCAGCGAAAGCUGCUGGGUAGGGGAGCGUUCCAUGGGCGUAGAAGGCUGACCGGAAGGACAGCUGGAGCGCAUGGAAGUGAGAAUGCUGGUAUGAGUAGCGAAAAGAUACGUGAGAAUCGUAUCCACCGAAAGCCUAAGGGAUCCUGGGCAACGCUCGUCGCCCCAGGGUAAGUCGGGACCUAAGCCGAGGCAGCAAGCAUAGGCGAUGGACAACAGGCAAAAAUUCCUGUACUGCAUGAAGUUGCUUGAGGAUGGAGUGACACAGCAAGGAGCUUGAGCGUGCGACUGGAAAAGCACGUCGAAGGCGGUAGGCUGGUGUGGAGGCAAAUCCCCAUACCAAGGCCGAGAACUGACAGAUAGACAAUCCCUUCGGGGAACGUCGAAUUCAAGCGUACUACACUGUCGAGAAAAGCUUCUAACGAGACGACAUGCACCCGUACCAAAACCGACACAGGUAGGCGGGGAGAGAAUCCUAAGGUGCGCGGGAAAACCCUCGUUAAGGAACUCGGCAAAAUGCAUCCGUAACUUCGGGAGAAGGAUGGCCGGAGCUGGUGAAGCCCCCUGCGGGAAAAGCUGGAGCCGGCGGCAGAAGAGAAGCCCAAGCGACUGUUUACCACAAACACAGGUGCCUGCUAAAGAGAAAUCUGACGUAUAGGUGCUGACACCUGCCCGGUGCUGGAAGGUUAAGGAGAGGAGUCAGGAGCAAUCCGAAGCCCCGAACUGAAGCCCCAGUAAACGGCGGCCGUAACUAUAACGGUCCUAAGGUAGCGAAAUUCCUUGUCGGGUAAGUUCCGACCCGCACGAAAGGUGUAACGACUUGGGCACUGUCUCAACGAGGGACCCGGUGAAAUUGAAAUACCUGUGAAGAUGCAGGUUACCCGCGACUGGACAGAAAGACCCCAUGGAGCUUUACUGCAGCCUGGCAUUGAUUCUUGGCAUGUAACGUACAGGAUAGUUGGGAGACGGAGAAGUGCGGCCGCAAGACCGCACAGAGUCGUUGUUGGGAUACCAACCUUUGCGUGCUAGGGAUCUAACCCUGAGAGUUACAGACUCGGGGACAGUGCCAGGCAGGCAGUUUGACUGGGGCGGUCGCCUCCGAAAGAGUAACGGAGGCGUCCAAAGGUUCCCUCAGCGCGGACAGAAAUCGCGCGAAGAGUAUAAAGGCAGAAGGGAGCUUGACUGCGAGACAUACAGGUCGAGCAGGUACGAAAGUAGGGCUUAGUGAUCCGGUGGAAUGAGAGUGGAAUUGCCAUCGCUCAACGGAUAAAAGCUACCCUGGGGAUAACAGGCUAAUCUCUCCCAAGAGUCCAUAUCGACGGGGAGGUUUGGCACCUCGAUGUCGGCUCAUCACAUCCUGGGGCUGAAGCAGGUCCCAAGGGUUGGGCUGUUCGCCCAUUAAAGUGGUACGUGAGCUGGGUUCAGAACGUCGUGAGACAGUUCGGUCCAUAUCCAUCGCGGGCGGAAGAUACAUGAGGGAGGCUGCUCCUAGUACGAGAGGACCGGAGUGGACGGACCGCCGGUGAACCGGUUGUCGCGCCAGCGGCACAGCCGGGUAGCUGCGUCCGGAAGGGAUAAACGCUGAAAGCAUCUAAGCGUGAAGCCCGUCCCGAGAUGAAGUAUCUCAUAGAGUAAUCUAGUAAGACCCCUUGA